RNAcentral lists this ribosomal RNA (375 nucleotides) under uncultured bacterium. RNAcentral's name for it is "bacterial SSU rRNA". It matches the Rfam family "Bacterial small subunit ribosomal RNA", at positions 524 to 898 of the family's 1533-position model. The record is from RNAcentral.
UACGUAGGGGGCAAGCGUUGUCCGGAAUUAUUGGGCGUAAAGCGCGCGCAGGCGGCGCUUUAAGUUGGGGGUUAAAGGCAAUGGCUCAACCAUUGUACGCCUCCAAAACUGGAGCGCUUGAGUGCAGCAGAGGAAAGUGGAAUUCCCGGUGUAGCGGUGGAAUGCGUAGAGAUCGGGAGGAACACCAGUGGCGAAGGCGACUUUCUGGGCUGUAACUGACGCUGAGGCGCGAAAGCGUGGGGAGCAAACAGGAUUAGAUACCCUGGUAGUCCACGCCGUAAACGAUGAGUGCUAGGUGUUGGGGGCUUUCCCGCCCUCAGUGCCGCAGCUAACGCAUUAAGCACUCCGCCUGGGGAGUACGGCCGCAAGGCUGAA